UUUGAUUAUGGCUCAGAUUGAACGCUGGCAGGAUGCGCUACACGCGCAAGUCGAACGGCAGCACGGACUUCGGUCUGGUGGCGGUAGCGAACAGGUGAGUAAUGUAUCCCGGAACGUGCCUAAUGUGCGAGGAUAACCUGCGCGAAAGCAUGCUAAUACCACCUUGCGCCCUUCCGGGAAGCGGGGACCUUCGGGCCUCGCACCUAUCAGGCGGCCGAUAUCAGUUAGCUGGUUGGCGGUGGGGUAACGCUCUACCAAGGCGACGAUCCGUAGCUGGUUUUGAAGGACUGACCAGCCACACUGGGACGGGCGACCCAGACCUGCAGGAGGCAGCAGUGGGAAUUUCCUGGACAAUGGGGAAACCUGAUGCAGCCAUCCCGCGUGUGCGAUGAAGGCCUUCCCGGGUUGUAAAGCACUUUUGGCAGGAAAGAAACGGCACGGGAUAAUGCCCGAUACAACUGACGGUACACUUGCAGAAUACUGCUUCACCGGCUAACCAUGCCGGCAGCCGCGGUAGCCGUAGGGUGCAAGCGUUAAUCGGAAUUACUGGGCGUAAAGCGUGCGCAGGCGGUUCGGAAAGAAAAGAUCUUAAAAUCCAGAGCUUAACUUUAGAUGCAUUUUUAACUACCGAGCUAGAGGGGGUGUCAGGUGGAGUUGCAUUAGCGGUAAAAUGUAGAUAAUGCCCGGAGGAACACCGAUGGCGAAGGUAGCCACUCCUGGGAUAACACUGACGCUCAUGCACAGAAAGUAGGCAAACGGAUUAGAUACCUGAUGUGAUCACGCCUAACGAUAUGUGGCUGUUGGGCCUUCAGGCCUUGGUAGCCGCAGCUAACGCGUGAAGUUGACCGCCUGGGAGUACGGUCGCAAGGUCAAAACUCAAGGAAUUGACGGGGACCCGCACAAGCGGUGGAUGAUGUGGAUCAUUCGAUGCAACACGAAAAACCUUACCUACCCUUGACAUAUCUGGAAUCCCGAAGAGAUUUGGGAGUGCUCGCAAAGAGGGAGCCGGAACACAGGUACUGCAUAAAGCUGUCUAAUAGCUCGUGUCUGGAUGUUGAUUGAUCCCGCAACGAGCGCAACCCUUGUCGUGGUUGCUGCGAAAGGGCACUCUAAUGAGACUGCCCGGUGACAAACCGGAGGAAAGGUGGGGAUGACGUCGAGUCCUCAUGGCCCUUAUGGGUAGGGCUUCACACGUCAUACAAUGGUCGGGACAGAGGUCGCCAGCCGCCCGCGAGGGGCCAAUCCCAGGAAACGAUCGUAGUCCGGAUCGCAGUCUGCAGCUCGACUGCGUGAAGUCGGAAUCGCUAAUGUCCGCGGAUCAACAUGUCGCGGUGAAUACGUUCCCGGGUCUUGUACACACCGCCAAAUGCACCAUGGGAGUGGGUUUUACCAGAAGUGAUUAGCUAACCGUAAGGGCGAUUACCACGGUAGGAUUCUGGCUAGAGGUGAAGUCGUAACAAGGUAG
RNAcentral lists this ribosomal RNA (1465 nucleotides) under uncultured Bordetella sp. RNAcentral's name for it is "partial 16S-23S ribosomal RNA intergenic spacer". It matches the Rfam family "Bacterial small subunit ribosomal RNA". Lineage: Bacteria; Pseudomonadati; Pseudomonadota; Betaproteobacteria; Burkholderiales; Alcaligenaceae. The record is from RNAcentral.